RNAcentral lists this ribosomal RNA (322 nucleotides) under uncultured eukaryote. RNAcentral's name for it is "partial 18S ribosomal RNA". It matches the Rfam family "Eukaryotic small subunit ribosomal RNA", at positions 1470 to 1796 of the family's 1831-position model. The record is from RNAcentral.
CCCUUAGAUGUUCUGGGCCGCACGCGUGCUACACUGAGUGGAUCAGCGGGUCAGGUUGCGCGAAAGCGUUUCCUAAUCUUGAAAUCAGCUCGUGAUGGGGAUUGACGGUUGCAAUUUUCUGUCAUGAACGAGGAAUACCUUGUAAGCGCGAGUCAUCAUCCCGCGCUGAAUACGUCCCUGCCCUUUGUACACACCGCCCGUCGCUCCUACCGAUUGAGUGGUCCGGUGAGGCUUUGGGAUCUGAGCGGAAAGAGCGUUUCGCUCGUUCUGCCCGGAAAACUCAGUCGAACCUUAUCAUUUAGAGGAAGGAGAAGUCGUAACA